This 3345-nucleotide long non-coding RNA is filed under the name Sus scrofa (pig). RNAcentral's name for it is "lncRNA (ENSSSCG00030046081.1)". The record is from RNAcentral. Lineage: Eukaryota; Metazoa; Chordata; Mammalia; Artiodactyla; Suidae.
CAGGCCAGGGGUCUAAUCAGAGCUGUAGCCGCAAGCCUUCACCAGAGCCAUAGCAACAUGGGAUCUGAGCUGCAUCUGUGCCCUACACCACCCAAGAUCCUUAAUCCACUGAGCUAGGCCAGAGAUCAAAUCCCCGCCCUCAUGGAUGCUAGUCGGUUUCAUUAACCACUAAGCCACGAUGGGAACUCCAGUAUGCUUUUUUUAAAAAAAAAUGAACAGUUAGGGAACUCCUCAUUGAGGUGACAUUUGAGUAGAGACUGAAGGAAAUGAGUGCCACUCACAUAAGUAGAGGAAGAAAGGUGCACAGGCCCUAAGACAAGAGUGUGUUCAGGGCAUAGCAAAGAAACUAGCAUGUCUCGAGUGGAAGCGAAUGAGAAGGAGAGAUUAAGGAGAUGAAGGUAAGAGAUCGGAUUCGUUAACCACUGUGCCACGACAGGAACUCCAAUACCAUACUGUUUUUAAUGACUAGCUUUGUAAUACAGUCUGAAGUCAGGGAAUCUGAUUCCUCCAGUUCCAUUUUUCUUUCUUAGGAUUGCUUUGGCUAUUCAGGGUCUUUUGUAUUUCCAUACAAAUUUUAGAAUAUUUUGUUCUAGUUCUGUGAAAAAUGCCAUUGGUAAUUUGAUAGGGAUUGCACUGAAUCUGUAGAUUGCCUUGGGUGGUGUAGUCAUUUUGACAACAUUGAUUAUUCCAAUCCAAGGGCAUGGUAUAUUUUUCCAUCUUUUUGUGUCAUCUUUGAUUUCUUUCAUCAGAGUUAGAGUUCUCAUAGUGCAGGUCUUUUUUCUCUUUAGGUAGGUUUAUUCCUAGAUAUUUUAUUCUCCUUGAUGCAGUUGUAAAUGGGAUCAUAUCCUUAAUUUCUCUUCUUGAUCUUUCAUUGUUGGUGUAUAGAAGUGCAAGAGAUUUCCGUGAUUAAUCUUGUAUCCUCCAGCUGUGCCAGAUUCACUGAUGAGUUCUAACAGUUUUCUGGUAGAGUCUUUAGGAUUUCCUAGGUAUAGUGCAGAUAGAUGCUUUUCCCAUUUGGAUUCCUUUUUAUUUCCUUUUCUUCUGAUUGCUGUGGCUAGGACUUCCAAAACUAUAUUGAAUAACAUGGUAAGAGUGCAUAUCCUUAUCUUAUUCUAGAUCUUAGUGGAAAUGCUUUUAGCUUUUCACCAUUGAGAAUGAUGUUAGCUGUGGGUUUGUCACAUCUGGCCUUUAUUCUGUUGAGGUAGGUCCCCUCUGUGCCCACUUUUGGGAGAGUUCUUAUCAAAAAUGGAAUUGAAUUUUGUCAGAUAACACUUAUGUGUAAUCUAAUAAAUGAUACAAACGAACUUAUUUGUAAAACAAAAACAAACUGGCAUUUCAAAACCAUUGUUAAGGUUACCAUAGAGGAAACCAAACGGGGUGGAGGGGAGGGAGGGAAGACUUUAGGAGGAUGGGAAUAUUACAUAUAAACACCGCUCUAUAAAAUAACCUACUGUAUAGCACAGGGAAAUCUACUCAGCAGUUUGUAAUUACCUAUAUGAGAAAAGAAUGGAUAUAUGAAUAUGUAUAACUGAGUCACUUCACUGUAAAACUGAAGCCAGUAUCUUUUAAGCCAACUGUAUUCCAAUAAAAUUUUAGAAAGUACAUGUACCUGGUACAGAAUUCAGAUAAUCAUAUGCAGGACAAUAGAAGUAAACCUUCCUCCCCUGUCCACUAGCUAUACUGCUUCCCUCCCUGCAAUCUUCAUUACCAGUUUCUUAAUUAUUUAAGAUGAUCUCUGUGACGCUAUGAACAUAUAUUUGCUCUUUGUCAGUCUUAAGAUAUUUAACUAGGUUCUUUUGCCUUUAGGUUUGAAGUAUUAAAUACGUAAUACCUGUAUUAUCUAUGAUGUUAUUGCUUCUCCUUUCCAAAUCCAGCCUUCCCUGCCUACUCUGCAGUUAUCAACUGGACCCUGUGAAUACCCAUCCCUUGUCAAGAGGUACAGUGUAAAGUUUUGUCAGUAGAGGGUGCUGGUGAGACAACAGGAGGGGCAGGAGGAGGAGUACUUUCCCUGGGUCCAGUGUUCCUAUCAGAUACCUGCAGCACACAGUGUCUACAGCCUUGUGCAGUGCCUGGCUUCAGCAGUACUCAGUGGGCAGCAGCACGCAGUACCCUCGCUUGGCUAGCUUCCCCUGACCCCCCGCCUCCCGAAGCACUUUCUAAGCAAAGUGCUCUAAGCGUAAACCUUCUGGGGCUGCGGCUCUUCAAUUCAGCCAGGUUCUCUGUUGUUCAUGGCUGUGCCUUCUCUAUCAAGGUCUAGAUCUCACCCCUAGCGCUCUUUCUUUGGAUGUUCUGUCUCAGGCUAGGGUGAAGAGCCAGGAGGCUGGGCCCUGUGCCUGCCUAGAGUUCUCGGUUUCAUGCUAACAAGUCCUCCUUUCUGCAGUCUACAGUUUCAGUUCAUACCUCUGUAGUGUGGUUUCUGUCUCCUGAUUGGACUCGGAUACAAUACUUAAGCCUUCCUGACUAGAAAAGUAGUGGGUAUAAAGUCACACAAGAAGAUAACUCAUCUCACCCCCGAGAGCAACUAUUAAUGUUAUAAUGCUAAGCUCAUUUUAUACUUUGUUCUAAAUAUAAAAAUAAAACAGGUACUUGUCAAACAAAAAAAGGAACAAAAAAAGUAGUAGAAAAAAAAUGCCUUCCUGUCUCCUUUCUAACCACUUAGAAUAUCACUAUUAACAUUUUCUUAUACAUUCUCCCAGAAAUUUUUCCAGAAAUUCUUGGUGCAUCUAGAAAUAUAAGAGUGUAUUUUUUAAACAAAUAGAAAAUCAUACCAUAUAUACCUUCAUUUCAUGGUAAAAAUAAGAAUUAGGGUAGAAGAUUGGUCAUUUUCCAACUUUAUGACUUUGGACUGGCCUUCUAACUGUUCUGAAAACUCUGCUGAUUAAUUGGUAGGAGUGAAAUUGUGGACCCAGAUGUAAACAUUCACAACAAAGGAAUAUGAAGUCAACAAUAUGAAGUCACUGACAGAGAUGGUCUCUCUGAGCGGAGUGGCUUCCUAAGAAAAUUUUAAGGUCAUUAUAAAUGUUUCAGUUGAACUCUCAAUCAUGAGGUUAUCUAAAAAAGCACUGGAGUUCCCGUCCGUGGCUCAGUGGUUAAUGAAUCCGACAAGGAACCAUGAGGUUGCGGGUUCGAUCCCUGGCCUUGCUCAGUGGAUUAAGGAUCCGGUGUUGCUGUGAGCUGUGGUGUAGGUUGCAGACACGGCUCAGAUCCCAGGUUUCUGUGGCUCUGGUGUAGGCCGGUGGCUACAGCUCUGAUUAGACCCCUAGCCUGGGAACCUCCAUAUUCCGUGGGAGCAGCCCUGGAAAAGUCAAAAAGACCAAAAAAAAGAAAUAAAUAAAAAUAAAAAAA